AGUGAACGCUCGCGGUAGGCCUAACACAUGCAAGUCGAACGGCAGCACAGUAAGAUCUUGCUCGUACGGGUGGCGAGUGGCGGACGGGUGAGGAAUACAUCGGAAUCUACUUUUUCGUGGGGGAUAACGUAGGGAAACUUACGCUAAUACCGCAUACGACCUACGGGUGAAAGCAGGGGAUCUUCGGACCUUGCGCGAUUGAAUGAGCCGAUGUCGGAUUAGCUAGUUGGCGGGGUAAAGGCCCACCAAGGCGACGAUCCGUAGCUGGUCUGAGAGGAUGAUCAGCCACACUGGAACUGAGACACGGUCCAGACUCCUAAGGGAGGCAGCAGUGGGGAAUAUUGGACAAUGGGCGCAAGCCUGAUCCAGCCAUACCGCGUGGGUGAAGAAGGCCUUCGGGUUGUAAAGCCCUUUUGUUGGGAAAGAAAAGCAGCAGGUUAAUACCCCGCUGUUCUGACGGUACCCAAAGAAUAAGCACCGGCUAACUUCGUG
Molecule: ribosomal RNA, 492 nt
Filed under: uncultured bacterium
Lineage: Bacteria
Description: partial 16S ribosomal RNA
Rfam family: Bacterial small subunit ribosomal RNA
Source: RNAcentral